ACAGGGUCAAAACAGGUUUACAAACCAAACCCACGUGCCCUCGGCACAAUCUGUGACCAAAACAAGAAUCUGAAUCCACCGCUAACCCGAACGGCACCCAACGACCCGAAACAGCCUAAACUCUGCUAACAAAUAAGCUCGGCAUCCCAGCACGAGCGUAAAUGCCUUCUAAACUACCCCAGAUAUCCAUCGCACUGCUACUGCAACGAUACAAUCGAAUCACGGCUCUUAGAGCUAAAUCUGGUAGUUUAAGCAUAUGACGAUUCCAAUCGUGUUUUCUCCU
Molecule: long non-coding RNA, 283 nt
Filed under: Ananas comosus (pineapple)
Lineage: Eukaryota; Viridiplantae; Streptophyta; Magnoliopsida; Poales; Bromeliaceae
Description: long non-coding RNA (ACOM_LNC017494)
Source: RNAcentral